GAACAAGAUAAACAACUGAAUAUCAUCAAAAAAAGAAAAGAGUAUAUUGAAAGGAGACUAGAGACACCAGGUAUAGUACUAACUUAAAGCAUGUAUUAAAGUAAUGUGGAGUUGAUAAUCAUUUGAACAAUCAGUACAAUUAUCUUAUAAAUUAAAAUUCUCAUUGUGUCAUUACUGUAGAGUCUAAACUGAAUGUGAAGCUACUGACUAGAGGGAAGUUGAUAAAUAAAAUAUUUAAAUCAAAGAAAUCAGAGACUCAGUAUUUCCGAACCUCUCUCCUAAUGAAAGCAGGAAGAGAGGAGGCAUUAGUGGA
Amphimedon queenslandica is the source of this 313-nucleotide long non-coding RNA. RefSeq lists it as uncharacterized. Lineage: Eukaryota; Metazoa; Porifera; Demospongiae; Haplosclerida; Niphatidae. The record is from RefSeq and is a predicted model, not a curated record. The transcript is spliced from 3 exons.